This 252-nucleotide ribosomal RNA is filed under the name uncultured bacterium. RNAcentral describes it as "partial 16S ribosomal RNA". It matches the Rfam family "Bacterial small subunit ribosomal RNA", at positions 524 to 776 of the family's 1533-position model. The record is from RNAcentral.
UACGGAGGGGGCUAGCGUUGUUCGGAAUUACUGGGCGUAAAGCGCACGUAGGCGGCUUUGUAAGUAGAGGUGAAAGCCCGGGGCUCAACUCCGGAAUUGCCUUUAAGACUGCAUCGCUCGAAUUGUGGAGAGGUAAGUGGAAUUCCGAGUGUAGAGGUGAAAUUCGUAGAUAUUCGGAAGAACACCAGUGGCGAAGGCGACUUACUGGACACAUAUUGACGCUGAGGUGCGAAAGCGUGGGGAGCAAACAGG